Molecule: long non-coding RNA, 551 nt
Filed under: Medicago truncatula (barrel medic)
Lineage: Eukaryota; Viridiplantae; Streptophyta; Magnoliopsida; Fabales; Fabaceae
Description: long non-coding RNA (MTRU_LNC008830)
Source: RNAcentral
UAGGCAUCGUUUGUUUCUGCAGAAAGAGAAGGGAUGGAUAGCUGAGAGGAUUGAAAGUUUGUGGGAAAACGUGCUUCCAUAGUUUGGUAUGCAUGAUAGAGAGGAUGGAAAGCUUCAGAUUGGUGGGGCCCGCGGCUGAAAACUUUCCCUCCCAUGAUCUCAACCUCCAAUAAAAUAAAUUGACCAAAACGCCCUCAUUUGUGGAGCAAAAUUAUUUUUGGUUGUGCAUUUUUUUUUUACAAAUUGUGCAUGUUCUUUUUUACUCUUUCUUUUCUUCGAUUAACAUGCUUUUGACAUCAAGGCUUUACACAUGUUUUUUUUUUUUUUUAUAACUUUUUUAAAAAAAAAUUACCGUCAGAUUUUAAAGUAUAAAAUAGCAUCAAGUGACAUCACCAAAUACAAAGGUUACUUAUGUCUUUUCAAAAAUAUAUAUCUUUCUUUCCUUUCACUUUCUUUUCACUUUCAUUUAUAACAAACAACUAAACAAACAAUCAUCUCACUUUCCAUUCACUUUCUACUCACUUUCUAUCCAUCAACAAUCUUUCCUUUCA